RNAcentral lists this ribosomal RNA (187 nucleotides) under uncultured bacterium. Its description in RNAcentral is "partial 16S ribosomal RNA". It matches the Rfam family "Bacterial small subunit ribosomal RNA", at positions 1313 to 1500 of the family's 1533-position model. The record is from RNAcentral.
GCCCUGCAUGAAGUCGGAAUUGCUAGUAAUCGCGGAUCAGCAUGCCGCGGUGAAUACGUUCCCGGGCCUUGUACACACCGCCCGUCACACCAUGGGAGCCGGUAAUACCCGAAGUCAGUAGUCCAACCACGUGAGGACGCUGCCGAAGGUAGGAUUGGCGACUGGGGUGAAGUCGUAACAAGGUAUC